Molecule: ribosomal RNA, 253 nt
Filed under: uncultured bacterium
Lineage: Bacteria
Description: partial 16S ribosomal RNA
Rfam family: Bacterial small subunit ribosomal RNA
Source: RNAcentral
UACGGAGGAUCCGAGCGUUAUCCGGAUUUAUUGGGUUUAAAGGGUGCGUAGGUGGCCUGUUAAGUCAGGGGUGAAAGACGGUAGCUCAACUAUCGCAGUGCCCUUGAUACUGAUGGGCUUGAAUGAACUAGAGGUAGGCGGAAUGUGACAAGUAGCGGUGAAAUGCAUAGAUAUGUCACAGAACACCAAUUGCGAAGGCAGCUUACUAUGGUUUUAUUGACACUGAGGCACGAAAGCGUGGGGAUCAAACAGG